This 497-nucleotide ribosomal RNA is filed under the name uncultured bacterium. Its description in RNAcentral is "partial 16S ribosomal RNA". It matches the Rfam family "Bacterial small subunit ribosomal RNA", at positions 28 to 507 of the family's 1533-position model. The record is from RNAcentral.
GAUGAACGCUGGCGGCGUGCCUAAUACAUGCAAGUCGAGCGAACGGACGAGAAGCUUGCUUCUCUGAUGUUAGCGGCGGACGGGUGAGUAACACGUGGAUAACCUACCUAUAAGACUGGGAUAACUUCGGGAAACCGGAGCUAAUACCGGAUAAUAUUUUGAACCGCAUGGUUCAAAAGUGAAAGACGGUCUUUCUGUCACUUAUAGAUGGAUCCGCGCUGCAUUAGCUAGUUGGUAAGGUAACGGCUUACCAAGGCAACGAUGCAUAGCCGACCUGAGAGGGUGAUCGGCCACCCUGGAACUGAGACACGGUCCAGACUCCUACGGGAGGCAGCAGUAGGGAAUCUUCCGCAAUGGGCGAAAGCCUGACGGAGCAACGCCGCGUGAGUGAUGAAGGUCUUCGGAUCGUAAAACUCUGUUAUUAGGGAAGAACAUAUGUGUAAGUAACUGUGCACAUCUUGACGGUACCUAAUCAGAAAGCCACGGCUAACUACGUG